RNAcentral lists this long non-coding RNA (743 nucleotides) under Homo sapiens (human). RNAcentral describes it as "HSALNT0281784". Lineage: Eukaryota; Metazoa; Chordata; Mammalia; Primates; Hominidae. The record is from RNAcentral.
CCCCCUCUGCCUAGAAUAAUAAGGGGUUCUUGGACUCUCCAUCAAUAGGUCCUGUCAGACAAGCCAUCUGUAUCAUUCCAGGUCCUGGCAGGAAACAGAUGGCACCCUCAGAUUGAGUAAAUUGAGAAGAGUUUAAUAAAGAGACUAUUUACAAAGGAAUAUCAGGGUAUAGGGAAACCACAGGCCAGAAGGAGCAGAAGGAGAGAGCAAUCACUGGAAACUGGAGAGAGAAAAUCCUGUGAAGAGGGCCUCUUGACAGGAGCUGUGGCUUUUGGUCCAGGGACACAGCCAGCCAGCUCUCAAGAAGAUUCUGAAUUCCAUUAGGACAACUGAUGCCAACCAGUUUGAAGACCCCCACAGAGGAACCGAAUCAGCAUGAGAAUACAGCUGUUUCUUCUCCCUGUCCCAUGACUUCACCCUGCACUCUUCAACCCAUCAACAAUUCAACACUUCGGCCUCCUCCAACACCCUUGAAAUCCCUAGCCCCAAACUCCUCAAAGAUAUGAAUUUGAGGUUCCUUUCCAUCUCCUCAUUUGGUGACCCUGCGAUUAAACCUCUUUCUCUGCUGCAACCCAGUGUCACAGCCUAUUGAUUUGUCCCUCACAUUGGGCAACAAACCUAUUACGGUUACAAGUGAGGUUUCUUUUUCUUCCCCAUCGUUUCCUACUCCUUCAACUUCCUUAAAGCAAAAAGGGCAAUUUAUUCCUGGGUGUUUCAUAAAACACAAGGGCAGGAUAAAGCGG